RNAcentral lists this ribosomal RNA (556 nucleotides) under uncultured bacterium. Its description in RNAcentral is "bacterial LSU rRNA". It matches the Rfam family "Bacterial large subunit ribosomal RNA", at positions 617 to 1171 of the family's 2925-position model. The record is from RNAcentral.
GGGUCAGCGACUUACAUUUUGUAGCGAGGUUAACCGUAUAGGGGGAGCCGUAGGGAAACCGAGUCUUAACUGGGCGUCUAGUUGCAAGGUGUAGACCCGAAACCGGGUGAUCUAGCCAUGGGCAGGUUGAAGGUUGAGUAACAUCAACUGGAGGACCGAACCCACUAACGUUGCAAAGUUAGGGGAUGACCUGUGGCUGGGGGGUGAAAGGCCAAUCAAACUCGGAGAUAGCUGGUUCUCCCCGAAAGCUAUUUAGGUAGCGCCUCGGACGAAUACUACUGGGGGUAGAGCACUGUUUGGACUAGGGGGUCAUCCCGACUUACCAACUCCAUGCAAACUCCGAAUACCAGUAAGUACUAUCCGGGAGACACACGGCGGGUGCUAACGUCCGUCGUGAAGAGGGAAACAACCCCAGACCGCCGGCUAAGGUCCCAAAGUUCUGGUUAAGUGGGAAACGAUGUGGGAAGGCUCAGACAGCUAGGAUGUUGGCUUAGAAGCAGCCAUCAUUUAAAGAAAGCGUAAUAGCUCACUAGUCGAGUCGGCCUGCGCGGGAAGA